UACGUAGGGGGCUCGCGUUGUCCGGAAUCAUUGGGCGUAAAGCGCGUGUAGGCGGUCCGGUAAGUCCGCUGUGAAAGUCGAGGGCUCAACCCUCGAAUGCCGGUGGAUACUGUCGGGCUUGAGUACGGGAGAGGCGAGUGGAAUUCCUGGUGUAGCGGUGAAAUGCGCAGAUAUCAGGAGGAACACCGAUUGCGAAGGCAGCUCGCUGGAACGUUACUGACGCUGAGACGCGAAAGCGUGGGGAGCAAACAGG
Molecule: ribosomal RNA, 253 nt
Filed under: uncultured bacterium
Lineage: Bacteria
Description: partial 16S ribosomal RNA
Rfam family: Bacterial small subunit ribosomal RNA
Source: RNAcentral